GGCCCUGGUCGAGGUCCUGGCCCUGGUCGAGGUCCUGGCCCUGGUCGAGGUCCUGGCCCUGGUCGAGGUCCUGGCC
RNAcentral lists this microRNA precursor (76 nucleotides) under Cavia porcellus (domestic guinea pig). Its description in RNAcentral is "miRNA (ENSCPOG00000033397.1)". The record is from RNAcentral. Lineage: Eukaryota; Metazoa; Chordata; Mammalia; Rodentia; Caviidae.